GUGAGAUAAAAAUGGAUAACAGAAAGCGCAAAUGCGGCGCUGAAAAUACCAGAAUAAAUAAGAAGAAAGCUCUGGAAACUGACGAGGACAAAACAUUUCUAAGCUGAGCACAUUCUUCCUCAAAAAACAAAACAAACGGAGUGGACGAGGCCGCUCUUCAGCAGCAGCCGCCUCUAGUCCAGUUUGCUGCUAACAGUGAAGAGCAAGGCCCAGUAACGUUACCAAGCUCCAGUCAUGAGCCCAACACACCAGAAUGGGCAGUGGCUCUCUGCAUCUCACUGACGACACAUUACCUGAGCAGUCGGAAGCUGUGUAAUUAUUGCAUGGACGGAGCAGAAAUGUAAGUAUCUAAAGUAUAUGCACAGUUCCAUUGUGUGAUAAAUGUUUUCUAACAAUGUUAAGUCAAAUGUACAAAGGACACCUUGAAAUAAGAGUGCAAGGUUAAUCUAAUAAUAAGAUGCAUGGAAGUAGCAUUUGUUGCUUUCGCAAACAGACAUCGGGCAUGCUUUCUCUCAGAAUCAUAAUUUGCCAAUGGAGAAGAAAAGUUAAAUACUAAUAGCAUUUUUUUUUUAUGAAAAUGAC
Carassius gibelio (silver crucian carp) is the source of this 582-nucleotide long non-coding RNA. RefSeq lists it as uncharacterized. The record is from RefSeq and is a predicted model, not a curated record. The transcript is spliced from 3 exons. NCBI's taxonomy places the organism in Eukaryota, Metazoa, Chordata, Actinopteri, Cypriniformes, Cyprinidae.